UCGGACGGGUGAGUAACGCGUGAGAAUCUGCCUUCAGGUCUGGGACAACCACUGGAAACGGUGGCUAAUACCGGAUGUGCCGCAAGGUGAAAGGUUAACUGCCUGAAGAUGAGCUCGCGUCUGAUUAGCUAGUAGGUAGUGUAAAGGACUACCUAGGCGACGAUCAGUAGCUGGUCUGAGAGGACGAUCAGCCACACUGGGACUGAGACACGGCCCAGACUCCUACGGGAGGCAGCAGUGGGGAAUUUUCCGCAAUGGGCGAAAGCCUGACGGAGCAAUACCGCGUGAGGGAGGAAGGCUCUUGGGUCGUAAACCUCUUUUCUCAGGGAAGAACACAAUGACGGUACCUGAGGAAUAAGCAUCGGCUAACUCCGUGCCAGCAGCCGCGGUAAUACGGAGGAUGCAAGCGUUAUCCGGAAUGAUUGGGCGUAAAGCGUCCGCAGGUGGCUAUGUAAGUCUGCUGUUAAAGAGUCUAGCUCAACUAGAUAAGAGCAGUGGAAACUACAUGGCUAGAGUGCGUUCGGGGCAGAGGGAAUUCCUGGUGUAGCGGUGAAAUGCGUAGAGAUCAGGAAGAACACCGGUGGCGAAGGCGCUCUGCUAGGCCCGCAACUGACACUGAG
RNAcentral lists this ribosomal RNA (620 nucleotides) under Nostoc sp. LEGE 12448. Its description in RNAcentral is "bacterial SSU rRNA". It matches the Rfam family "Bacterial small subunit ribosomal RNA", at positions 98 to 750 of the family's 1533-position model. The record is from RNAcentral. Lineage: Bacteria; Bacillati; Cyanobacteriota; Cyanophyceae; Nostocales; Nostocaceae.